UACGGAGGAUGCGAGCGUUAUCCGGAUUUAUUGGGUUUAAAGGGUGCGUAGGCGGACUGUCAAGUCAGCGGUAAAAUUGAGAGGCUCAACCUCUUCCCGCCGUUGAAACUGGUGGUCUUGAGUGGAUGAGAAGUACGCGGAAUGCGUGGUGUAGCGGUGAAAUGCAUAGAUAUCACGCAGAACUCCGAUAGCGAAGGCAGCGUACCGGCGCCCAACUGACGCUGAAGCACGAAGGCGUGGGUAUCGAACAGG
This 252-nucleotide ribosomal RNA is filed under the name uncultured bacterium. RNAcentral's name for it is "partial 16S ribosomal RNA". It matches the Rfam family "Bacterial small subunit ribosomal RNA", at positions 524 to 776 of the family's 1533-position model. The record is from RNAcentral.